RNAcentral lists this ribosomal RNA (492 nucleotides) under uncultured bacterium. RNAcentral describes it as "bacterial SSU rRNA". It matches the Rfam family "Bacterial small subunit ribosomal RNA", at positions 15 to 507 of the family's 1533-position model. The record is from RNAcentral.
GAUCAUGGCUCAGAUUGAACGCUGGCGGCAGGCCUAACACAUGCAAGUCGAGCGGAUGAGAAGAGCUUGCUCUUCGAUUCAGCGGCGGACGGGUGAGUAAUGCCUAGGAAUCUGCCUAUUAGUGGGGGACAACGUUUCGAAAGGAACGCUAAUACCGCAUAAUACAGUGAAGACACAUGUUUUAUUGUUAAAGCUCCGGCGGUUAAAGAUGGGCAUGCGUAGGAUUAGCUAGUUGGUAAGGUAACGGCUUACCAAGGCGACGAUCCUUAGGGGUUCUGAGAGGAAGGUCCCCCACACUGGUACUGAGAUACGGACCAGACUCCUACGGGAGGCAGCAGUAGGGAAUAUUGGUCAAUGGGCGCAAGCCUGAACCAGCCAUGCCGCGUGCAGGAAGAAUGCCCUCUGGGUUGUAAACUGCUUUUGACAGGGAAGAAAUCACUUAUGCGUAAGUGUCUGACGGUACCUGUAGAAUAAGCACCGGCUAACUCCGUG